GACGAACGCUGGCGGCGUGCUUAACACAUGCAAGUCGAGCGGUAAGGCCCUUUCGGGGGUACACGAGCGGCGAACGGGUGAGUAACACGUGGGUGACCUGCCCUUAGCUCUGGGAUAAGCCCGGGAAACUGGGUCUAAUACCGGAUAUGACUCCAUGACGCAUGUUGUGGGGUGGAAAGCCUUGUGCGGCUAGGGAUGGGCCCGCGGCCUAUCAGCUUGUUGGUGGGGUGAUGGCCACCAAGGCGACGACGGGUAGCCGGCCUGAGAGGGCGACCGGCCACACUGGGACUGAGACACGGCCCAGACUCCUACGGGAGGCAGCAGUGGGGAAUCUUGCGCAAUGGGCGAAAGCCUGACGCAGCGACACCGCGUGGGGAUGAC
This 381-nucleotide ribosomal RNA is filed under the name uncultured bacterium. RNAcentral describes it as "bacterial SSU rRNA". It matches the Rfam family "Bacterial small subunit ribosomal RNA", at positions 28 to 412 of the family's 1533-position model. The record is from RNAcentral.